GCGGGAGUGGUGGAAUCGGUAGACACGCAGGAUUUAGGUUCCUGUGCCUUCGGGCGUGUGGGUUCGAGUCCCACCUUCCGCA
RNAcentral lists this transfer RNA (82 nucleotides) under Microbacterium sp. zg.Y1084. RNAcentral's name for it is "tRNA-Leu". It matches the Rfam family "tRNA". Rfam says of the family: Transfer RNA (tRNA) molecules are approximately 80 nucleotides in length. Their secondary structure includes four short double-helical elements and three loops (D, anti-codon, and T loops). RNAcentral also lists the same sequence under 1 other name. The record is from RNAcentral. Lineage: Bacteria; Bacillati; Actinomycetota; Actinomycetes; Micrococcales; Microbacteriaceae.